AUUGAACGCUGGCGGCAUGCUUUACACAUGCAAGUCGGACGGCAGCACAGAGAAGCUUGCUUCUUGGGUGGCGAGUGGCGAACGGGUGAGUAACAUAUCGGAACGUACCGAGCAGUGGGGGAUAACUAAUCGAAAGAUUAGCUAAUACCGCAUAUUUUCUGAGGAAGAAAGCAGGGGACCUUUGGGCCUUGCGCUGUUUGAGCGGCCGAUAUCUGAUUAGCUAGUUGGUGGGGUAAAGGCCUACCAAGGCGACGAUCAGUAGCGGGUCUGAGAGGAUGAUCCGCCACACUGGGACUGAGACACGGCCCAGACUCCUACGGGAGGCAGCAGUGGGGAAUUUUGGACAAUGGGCGCAAGCCUGAUCCAGCCAUGCCGCGUGUCUGAAGAAGGCCUUCGGGUUGUAAAGGACUUUUGUCAGGGAAGAAAAGGGCGGGGUUAAUACCCCUGUCUGAUGACGGUACCUGAAGAAUAAGCACCGGCUAACUACGU
RNAcentral lists this ribosomal RNA (489 nucleotides) under uncultured bacterium. Its description in RNAcentral is "partial 16S ribosomal RNA". It matches the Rfam family "Bacterial small subunit ribosomal RNA", at positions 30 to 506 of the family's 1533-position model. The record is from RNAcentral.